UCUCUCGCCUCUUUCUUCUCUACCGCUCUAGUCAUCCAGGCUCUCUUACUCUUAGUCUCAAGGAGCCGAAUCGCACUGCAAGGACGUCAAGCACAGCCUCAUGGAGAUCGCCAUGAUCAUGAAGACCAGAUCGAUGGCCAAGGAUUUGAGCGGGACUGUGAGAGAGAAACUCUCGGUUGUGUGCGCGAUCAACGACGAGGAUUCCAACGAUUUUCAGCAAGAGAUUACCGACGACGAUGUUGAGGGAAUGGAUGAGCUUGUUCGUGGCGGUAACUUGAGAAGAACCUCAGGUUUGUGCUCCUGCAGCAAAGUAAGUAUCUUUCUCUCUAGCUCAAUUUCUUCUGUAGAUGAAUAAAUGCAAAAAGACUUGUAUUUUGGUUGCUGAAAAUUGUGACAUCAGUAAUUCUAUAACAUAAUCUUAAUUAUAUCUCAAUUCAAUUGUUUCACCAUGUCAUUUCGGGGGAAGAAGUCCAGAUCCGAUCAUGUUCUUUUUGCACUUUCAAAGAUUAAGAGUAAUCUGGAGUAGGUGCUACUGGUCAUAUCGGGAGACGAGGCAUUGCUUCUGUACACUCAGAUUGAGAUUUGCAGUUGUUUGCUUCAUUGUUUUUGUGCAUGGUGUUCCAUUUGUUUCAAUUGGGUCGUCGGUGAAGCUCUGAAAUGGCUGCUGGUUACAUCCCAGAAGCCAUAUUUUUGGGAAUACUAAAGUUGAGGAGCGUUGUGUUUUG
Rosa chinensis is the source of this 725-nucleotide RNA transcript. RefSeq lists it as uncharacterized. The record is from RefSeq and is a predicted model, not a curated record. The transcript is spliced from 3 exons. NCBI's taxonomy places the organism in Eukaryota, Viridiplantae, Streptophyta, Magnoliopsida, Rosales, Rosaceae.